RNAcentral lists this ribosomal RNA (419 nucleotides) under uncultured bacterium. RNAcentral describes it as "bacterial SSU rRNA". It matches the Rfam family "Bacterial small subunit ribosomal RNA", at positions 506 to 927 of the family's 1533-position model. The record is from RNAcentral.
UGCCAGCAGCCGCGGUAAUACGUAGGUGGCAAGCGUUGUCCGGAUUUAUUGGGUUUAAAGGGUGCGUAGGCGGCCUUGUAAGUCAGUGGUGAAAUAUCUCAGCUUAACUGAGAGGGUGCCAUUGAUACUGCAGGGCUUGAGUACAGAUGAGGUAGGCGGAAUUGACGGUGUAGCGGUGAAAUGCAUAGAUAUCGUCAAGAACUCCGAUAGCGAAGGCAGCUUACUAAGCUGUAACUGACGCUGAGGCACGAAAGUGUGGGGAUCAAACAGGAUUAGAUACCCUGGUAGUCCACACUGUAAACGUUGAUGACUCGAUGUUGGCGAUACACAGCCAGCGUCCAAGAGCAAUCGUUAAGUCAUCCACCUGGGGAGUACGCCGGCAACGGUGAAACUCAAAGGAAUUGACGGGGGCCCGCACA